Molecule: RNA transcript, 5454 nt
Organism: Oncorhynchus keta (chum salmon)
Lineage: Eukaryota; Metazoa; Chordata; Actinopteri; Salmoniformes; Salmonidae
Gene name: solute carrier family 25 member 48-like
Exons: 7
Source: RefSeq, a predicted model, not a curated record
UUCACACUGACACGUAGCAUCAGUGACUGUUCAGUCUGUUGCAAUGAUGACUUGUGAAAAAUCAUCAACUCUUUACAUAAAUACAGUUUCUCUUUUUUUCAAAAUACAUAGCGUUCACAUUUGUAUUCCUAGGCAUUACUAAUCAAGCUCCGCACAACCAGAUAUCAAUGAAGCACACAGAUGAUUGUAUUAUCACAUUCGCAUUAAUUAUUAGAAAAUGACUUACAAUUUUGUAUAAUCAGUGGUAAAUAGUGUUAAAAGGUGGGUGAUGGGUAAACUUCAGUAGAAGGAACAACCACUGGUAGAAAGGAAAAUGUAGGACAUUUUUAAAACUGUAUUGUUUGCAUGUUGAUAGCAUUUUAAUGUCGGCCUAUAGGGAAGAUGGGCCAUGUGAAAAUAUUGAAACAUAUCAUAUUUUUAAAAGUUCCUAACUUGUUUGAUAUCAUUAGUACAGCUUUUCUCAGGGGACCCCACAUUGGGCCCUGACCCCAGGUUUGGCAACCACUGGACUAAUCUCUCUCUGCUUGCUUCUCUACUUGCUUCCUCUGUCUGUCUUCUCUGCUUCCUCCUGCAUGCAUCAAGAAAAAAUGUGUGCCUGAAAAACACCAAAAUUAACUAAGACGUCACAAAAUGGCAUCAUAAUAUAGGCACAAACUCUUCCCGAACUGUUCCGGUUGGGAAGCAUGCGGACGCUUUCAGCUGCUUUAGAGAGUGGGGAAUGUGCUGCAAAUCCGGCACACAAGUCCAAGGGACGCAGGCGAUCAUAACGAACAAGCCACUGUCCAUGAUUCCACUCGUUCAGAGAGACGCAGGUGAACAUAACGAACAAACCACUGUCCAUGAUUCCACUCGUUCAGAGACGCAGGUGAACAUAACGAACAAACCACUGUCCAUGAUUCCACUCGUUCAGAGACGCAGGUGAACAUAACGAACAAACCACUGUCCAUGAUUCCACUCGUUCAGAGACGCAGGUGAACAUAACGAACAAACCACUGUCCAUGAUUCCACUCGUUCAGAGACGCAGGUGAACAUAACGAACAAACCACUGUCCAUGAUUCCACUCGUUCAGAGACGCAGGUGAACAUAACGAACAAACCACUGUCCAUGAUUCCACUCGUUCAGAGACGCAGGUGAACAUAACGAACAAACCACUGUCCAUGAUUCCACUCGUUCAGAGAGGCAGGUGAACAUAACGAACAAACCACUGUCCAUGAUUCCACUCGUUCAGAGACGCAGGUGAACAUAACGAACAAACCACUGUCCAUGAUUCCACUCGUUCAGAGAGACGCAGGUGAACAUAACGAACAAACCACUGUCCAUGAUUCCACUCGUUCAGAGACGCAGGUGAACAUAACGAACAAACCACUGUCCAUGAUUCCACUCGUUCAGAGACGCAGGUGAACAUAACGAACAAACCACUGUCCAUGAUUCCACUCGUUCAGAGAGGCAGGUGAACAUAACGAACAAACCACUGUCCAUGAUUCCACUCGUUCAGAGACGCAGGUGAACAUAACGAACAAACCACUGUCCAUGAUUCCACUCGUUCAGAGAGGCAGGUGAACAUAACGAACAAACCACUGUCCAUGAUUCCACUCGUUCAGAGACGCAGGUGAACAUAACGAACAAACCACUGUCCAUGAUUCCACUCGUUCAGAGAGACGCAGGUGAACAUAACGAACAAACCACUGUCCAUGAUUCCACUCGUUCAGAGACGCAGGUGAACAUAACGAACAAACCACUGUCCAUGAUUCCACUCGUUCAGAGACGCAGGUGAACAUAACGAACAAACCACUGUCCAUGAUUCCACUCGUUCAGAGACGCAGGUGAACAUAACGAACAAACCACUGUCCAUGAUUCCACUCGUUCAGAGACGCAGGUGAACAUAACGAACAAACCACUGUCCAUGAUUCCACUCGUUCAGAGAGACGCAGGUGAACAUAACGAACAAACCACUGUCCAUGAUUCCACUCGUUCAGAGACGCAGGUGAACAUAACGAACAAACCACUGUCCAUGAUUCCACUCGUUCAGAGAGACGCAGGUGAACAUAACGAACAAACCACUGUCCAUGAUUCCACUCGUUCAGAGACGCAGGUGAACAUAACGAACAAACCACUGUCCAUGAUUCCACUCGUUCAGAGACGCAGGUGAACAUAACGAACAAACCACUGUCCAUGAUUCCACUCGUUCAGAGAGACGCAGGUGAACAUAACGAACAAACCACUGUCCAUGAUUCCACUCGUUCAGAGAGAGGCAGGCAUGUUUAGAACUCAAUCAGAUCAAUCAUUUAAGUGUUCUGAGCUUUGAUCAACACUGAGAUAAAUAUUUACAUGUUCACCUAUAAUUGUCUUAAUUUAUUUUGAACAAAAUCUAUUUUUUUAUAAUGUUUUUAUAAUUAUAAAAAAAUUGACCGAGGUCUGGACCUCUGUGUCCUCAUGUGUAUUUAUGGCCCUGGUUGCUAUCACCAUGCUCUAAACUAACAGCUAACCCCAUUGGAAUCAUAAUUUAUGCAGGAAUUCUAGUGUUGCUGCUAUGUGGACUUGGCGGAAAAUGUAGUCUAGCUAUGCAAAUAAAAACGUUCCUUCGGGUUAUCUGCUAAGGAGCGUUCAGCUAAAAGGCUGUGGUACACUGAGUGACACGUCAAAAUGAAGAAUUUUGGCACUUUAGCAAGCCUUUUUCAUAGUCAAAAUUAGACUGAUUUUAAUUAUCCGUGUGUUCUAUAUUAAAGGGCACUUUAUUUAACAUAACAAGCUUUUAAAAAGCAAUAUUUGUGAACAAUUUCUGCUUAAAAUAUCAGAGACACACACACAUACACACACACACACAAAAGGCACUCAUUUUGUAGAACGGCACCUUUACAGUCUUCGUGUCAAGUCCAAAGCUGAAUAGUUGUCUUCACCUUGUCUACCACCUAUAAAACCGCGUCUACCACCUAUAAAAACUUUGCCAUUACUUUAUGCCAUUUUACGAUGCCAUCUUGAAAACGUUGUAGGCCCUACCCAGGGUUGGGAGGAUGAUUUACAGUUACUGAUUACAUGACAAUAAAACGAGUUAGUCAUGUAAUCCAAUGGAUUAGUCACAUUGUGAGUAACAGUUUGAUUACUGCCUUGGUUAGCCCACAUCUGCCUCCUUAUUUAUGCUGUAGACCACAGGAGGUUGGUGGCACCUUAAUUAAGGGAGGACGGGGCUCGUGGUAAUGGCUGGAGUGGAAUGGUAUCAAAUGCAUCAAAACGCAUGCCAUUCCAUUUGCUCUGUUCCAGCCAUUACGAUGAGUCGUCCUCCCCUCGGCAGCCUCCACUGCACACCAGCAUCUGUGGGUAGUUGCUUUGCUCAGCUGCCUGCUGCAUCUUAUUGAUGUGAUGCCUUCACUGCUAAAAAGGUCCAGGGAAAGCAUCUCCAACCCUCGUUCUUUGAUUAUGCAAUCGUUGGCCUACUCCACAACAGCCACCCAGCAGAUUGUGACCCAUAAAUGAUGACAUGGUCUGACUCACCCAACAGUCUGCUGUGAUAAAGACUUCAAUUGGACAUAUGUAAUAGGUCAAAGACAAAAUGUGAUUUAGUUCAUGAGUUGAAUGACCUCUGAUUUGAGUCUACUCCUUUCCACUGACACUGGAGGUAUAGCUGAGUAAGCAACCGAUUUGACACGUCAUCCCAGUACACAGCAUGGAGCUGUAUUUACUAAUAAAACCUGUUCCUUUUGACACACAAAUCCUGAUGAAAUGUGGGAUGAUUCAACUUCUCAGUAGGGUUGCAAAGCUACUGGUAGUGACCAAGGUUACCGGAACCUUCAGUAAUUUCGGUAAUUUAUAGUCUAAUAACUUUUACAAAAUGUAUUUGUGUAUAUAGUCACAUCUACUGUAUGUUAGGUUUUGAUUAGCCAAUGCAGGUUAAAGUGAGUUCUUCCACUAUUUAAAAAAAAAAAAAAUUAAUAAAAAAAAAAAUAUAUAUUAUAUAUCCAUAUUCUGAAUGACAUUUGGGACCUCAGCUAGAUGGUAACCUGUCUACAGGUUCUAUCUCGUGGGUUACGGCUACCCCAGCUGACGUGUUUCUGUCUACAGGUUCUAUCUCGUGGGUUACGGCUACCCCAGCUGACGUGUUUCUGUCUACAGGUUCUAUCUCGUGGGUUACGGCUACCCCAGCUGACGUGUUUCUGUCUACAGGUUCUAUCUCGUGGGUCACGGCUACUCCAGCAGACGUGUUUCUGUCUACAGGUUCUAUCUCGUGGGUUACGGCUACUCCAGCUGACGUGUUUCUGUCUACAGGUUCUAUCUCGUGGGUCACGGCUACUCCAGCUGACGUGUUUCUGUCUACAGGUUCUAUCUCGUGGGUCACGGCUACCCCAGCUGACGUGUUUCUGUCUACAGGUUCUAUCUCGUGGGUCACGGCUACCCCAGCUGACGUGUUUCUGUCUACAGGUUCUAUCUCGUGGGUCACGGCUACUCCAGCUGACGUGUUUCUGUCUACAGGUUCUAUCUCGUGGGUCACGGCUACUCCAGCUGACGUGUUUCUGUCUACAGGUUCUAUCUCUUGGGUCACGGCUACUCCAGCUGACGUGGUGAAGAGCAGACUACAGGCUGACGCUCUCCACGCUAGGAAAUACAGAGGGAUUGUCCACUGCAUCGUCCAGAGCUACAAGACCGAGGGGAUACAUGUCUUCUUCCGCGGAGCCUCAGUGAACGCUAUCCGAGGCUUCCCAAUGAGUGCCACCAUGUUUCUGGGCUAUGAACUCUCUCUGCAGUUCUUCAGGGGUCUCUAGUGUCUACACCAGGAAUAUGAUACAGUGCAGUAUGUCCACUGAAUGACACGUUAUCUUGACAGCUAUCCUCUUGUCCUUGAACGCCCCCCAAAGGCUUUCACCUGGAAGAUCAUUUAAAUCCUUGCAAAAAGAAAGUGGGGAGCAACUUGACUUGACAUUUUCUAGUUUGAGAAUUAUCUCCACUAUUGCCAUAAUACAAUGUAUUUGUAAAGUGUAAAUACAAAUUUCUUAUGUUAAGAAAAUCUCUUAUUAAAAAUGCCAUACAUGAAUUCACAAAGGCAUACAUUUGAAAUAUGUUGUGCUAUAAUACAGACUAACCGUAUGUUUCAUGUUUUUAGCUGUACUGCAUAAAUUAACUAGUUAUUAGUACCCAACAGUUAACCAGUUCUAACCUCAGCAAUGAGGCGCACAUUAAUCAAUAUAUUAUAUGUUGGUGCCAGGCUUUUAAGUUUUUUUUUUUUUUUAAGUGUUUUAUCUUUGUAAAUAAGUAUAAGAGAAAUUAAAUGUAAUUUCACAAGGAGGGGUAGUUUUUUUUUUUUUUUUUUUUGCAUAAUUUGUAUUUAAGGUUAUUUUAAUGUGAGUUUAUUUUGAAUUCUUGUUUAGACUGUUUCUGUACAGUUUUACUUGGAAAACCUAAUAAACGUAUUGUUCAAAUCUAGUAAUGGUAUUCUUCUUUAAAAUUCUCUCUAAAGGUCAGAGU